GCCCCCAGUUAAACCUUCGCCGCUUUCCGCUGAACUCCGGGGUAAAACUUGACGUCCCUGUCUGAUUUUCCACUUUGUCACCCAGAACGGGGGCAGGCCACCUCGCGGGGAGGGGGCGCCAGGCGGAGAUGCGGCGCAGGCGCAGGGAGCCCCGACCACCCCCAAGGAGACAGAGGCCGUCGGGACUUCCUCUGCGCUCUCCCACCAGCAGGCAGGACGUGGGAGUUUGCCAAAGCACAGAAAUCGAAUAUCUGAGACACUUCUUUUUGCUGCCACACAGGAAAAGAUGGAAAUUAUCUGUCCUGGCUGUGAUGAAAUGCGUCAGUGUGUAAGCAGAUACGGUCUCAGUAAUUGAUGGUCUUAAGGGAACAAAAGAACGCAGAAACAAACGACUGUAAUCAGACAAGAGAAGUAACAACAGCAAAAAUAUGUACCAGUUGUAAAGACUCCCGGUUCUGUUUCAAUGGUGACGAUUAGCCUGAAGCCGCAACCACCAGACCUACCGGAAUCUAAGGGGUGAAGAUGACCUUUUCUGACCUUCCUGACUUCAAUCAAAUAAACCCUGGACUCUGCGGGGAGACACUGCUUUGGAGAAGAUCCCCAGUGUUCCCCUUACUUGCAGCAGGUAAUAAAUCCUUCCUUCUCCG
Balaenoptera acutorostrata (minke whale) is the source of this 647-nucleotide long non-coding RNA. RefSeq lists it as uncharacterized. The transcript has 2 exons. The record is from RefSeq and is a predicted model, not a curated record. Lineage: Eukaryota; Metazoa; Chordata; Mammalia; Artiodactyla; Balaenopteridae.